RNAcentral lists this long non-coding RNA (343 nucleotides) under Homo sapiens (human). RNAcentral's name for it is "non-protein coding lnc-EIF2AK3-5:3". The record is from RNAcentral. Lineage: Eukaryota; Metazoa; Chordata; Mammalia; Primates; Hominidae.
AUGAGGCUCCCUGCUCAGCUCUUGGGGCUGCUAAUGCUCUGGGUCCCUGGAUCCAGUGCAGAGAUUGUGAUGACCCAGACUCCACUCUCCUUGUCUAUCACCCCUGGAGAGCAGGCCUCCAUGUCCUGCAGGUCUAGUCAGAGCCUCCUGCAUAGUGAUGGAUACACCUAUUUGUAUUGGUUUCUGCAGAAAGCCAGGCCAGUCUCCACAGCUCCUGAUCUAUGAAGUUUCCAACCGGUUCUCUGGAGUGCCAGAUAGGUUCAGUGGCAGCGGGUCAGGGACAGAUUUCACACUGAAAAUCAGCCGGGUGGAGGCUGAGGAUGUUGGAGUUUAUUACUGCAUG